This 940-nucleotide unclassified non-coding RNA is filed under the name Leishmania donovani. Its description in RNAcentral is "gene:LdHU3.28.0450(CDS-product:Sugar_efflux_trans porter_for_intercellular_exchange_putative)". The record is from RNAcentral. Lineage: Eukaryota; Euglenozoa; Kinetoplastea; Trypanosomatida; Trypanosomatidae.
AAAAAAAGCGCUACAUUUUCAUUCGGCCAACCAUGACCGCCUUCAACAUCGUCUACAACCUCUUAACCUACACGGCAGGUGGGUUCUCCGUGAUAAUGAACGCGUCGCCAGUGAUCGCGAUUCGUCGGCUGGAGCAAUCGGGCACCGUGGGGGCCUCCACUGUCACUUUCUACGGUGCGCAGAUGUACAACGCCGUUACGUGGACCUCUUACGGUAUCUUCUCCGUCUCUUACCCGCUGCUUAUCGCGAACAUCCUCGGCAACGCCGUCUCGACCUACUGUAGCCUCGUAUUCCUCACAGUAGCGCGGCGAGAGGAGAUGUCGGGGCGCACGCUGCAGGCCACAACUUACUCCAAAAGCGUCCUGACGUACGCCUUCUUUUUCGUGCUCAGCGCGGCACACCUGCUGCUGAGCAUCGUUCUCACCAUGUCUGGGCGGCCGGAGACGGCAAAGACGAUUACGGGCUACGAAGGCAGCGUGGCGUGCAUCGUGAUGCUGAGCGCCCCCCUUCUGGCGUUCAAACACAUCGUCGUCACGAAGAACGCCGAGGUUCUCACUCCAGUCAUGGUCGGCUGUGCCUUUUUCAACACGCUCUUCUGGCUCGUCGCGGGCCUCAUGACCAACGACAUGUUCAUCGCCGUCCCAAACUUCCUGUGCUUCCUUGCGUGCUGCGCGCAGGUGGUGCUCUUGGUGAUGUACGGGAGGAGGCCGGCGGCGCCGACGGAGAUUAAUGAGGCCAUCGCACCCACGCCGUUUGGCUAGCGGCCGGCAAGACAAACCCGCGCACGUGGUGUUCCUUUCGUUUUAUGUUCUAGGGCAGGUGUGUGGUGCUCUGGUUUGUUGUCCCUCUGUCUGACCGUCGCCCUGCGCACACCGGACUGUGCGUGUCUUCCGGGCUCUACCGUCCCGCUCCCAAACGUGCGGACGCGCCACUAGCAAAG